CGAUAUUGUACAAAUGUUGGACAUGGACAGUGUUCAAAAGAUCAUAGAAAAGUAUUUUGAGCCUUGGAGAAAUCACCUCUAAUAUGAAGACUUGCAGCUAUGUGUCAAAUGCAAUUAAUUUGUGUGGUCUUCUGUGUUUCUUCUGUCUAAUUAUCAAUGCUCAAAGAAAGAAACAAGGAAAACACCUGCAAGACAGGCAGCUCCACAGAAGUGAUAUGUCUCCAAUAAACGUCGAUGCAUACUGGGCUUAUCGCAACGCGAUUGAAGCAAAAUCAAACCCUAGCCCAGUAAGAUGUGCGAAUUGUACCUGCCAUAGAGAAAAAGAUAUAGUAGUUGUGGAAGCGUGUGAGAUCAGAUCGGGGGUCAUUUUGGCUCAUAACAUAGAUGAAUCUCGUGUUGAUAUGACAAAACUUUUUACAGGCAACGAAAAAAGGAUUGAAAUUUUUAACACGACAAUUAAAACAAUUAUUGUUGACAAAAAGGAAACGAAGACGCGUUUUGAUUAUAUGAUGUUCAAAGAGAACUAUCGCCUGGCCCUCACCGAGCCUGAUUUCGGAAAAGUGCAAGUUGCUACUGUGUUGUUCAGAAUAAGAGCACUUAAAUUUUUAGAUCGAACAGCCCUUCAACAGAUUAAAGUCUUGCAGUUCUUCAGUAUGAAUUCUACAACAUUUAAUCUAGGAAACCAGCAAAAAAAU
Symsagittifera roscoffensis is the source of this 695-nucleotide long non-coding RNA. RefSeq lists it as uncharacterized. NCBI's taxonomy places the organism in Eukaryota, Metazoa, Xenacoelomorpha, Acoela, Convolutidae. The record is from RefSeq and is a predicted model, not a curated record. The transcript has 4 exons.